UAGCCUGUCCUAAUCUCAAAGCCAAGCUGCCACUAGAACCCAAAGCCCCUGGAAGUUCAUCCAUGUCGUUACAGACAUGCCAGAGACUUGCACAAAUUUGCUAAUAUAAUGAACAGAGAUGUUUGUCAUAUCCAAUUCCAACUUGCUACGCAUGCCAUGCCACGUUUACAUCAAAGAGGAAGAAGCAACCGAACAGAGGAAAAACGGAAAACAAUUUUGGGGAAAAAAAAUUAAUGAUAAGAAGAGGUAGUUGUGACGUGUGAAUGAGAAAAAGAUGAUGUUUCCCUCUAAUGUCUUUUGUUAAGCUUUUAAUUUGGGGCAAGACGAUCUUGUCUGGCUUCCAAAAUAAACAGGUUCAGUGGUUGCGGGGAUACAAAAUUGAAG
Molecule: unclassified non-coding RNA, 384 nt
Filed under: Hevea brasiliensis (rubber tree)
Lineage: Eukaryota; Viridiplantae; Streptophyta; Magnoliopsida; Malpighiales; Euphorbiaceae
Source: RNAcentral